This 1307-nucleotide ribosomal RNA is filed under the name uncultured bacterium. Its description in RNAcentral is "bacterial SSU rRNA". It matches the Rfam family "Bacterial small subunit ribosomal RNA", at positions 28 to 1381 of the family's 1533-position model. The record is from RNAcentral.
AACGUACGCUGGCGGCACGCCUAACACAUGCAAGUCGAACGAAGUAGCAAUACUUAGUGGCAGACGGGUGAGUAACAUGUAGGUAUCUGCCCUUUGGCCUGGAAUAACACGAGGAAACUUGUGCUAAUACCGGAUAAGUCUUUACGGAGAAAGCUUUAUGCACCAUUGGAUGAGCCUGCACUUGAUUAGUUUGUUGGUGGGGUAAUGGCCUACCAAGACUGUGAUCAAUAGCUGAUUUGAGAGGAUGAUCAGCCACAUUGGGACUGAGACACGGCCCAAACUCCUACGGGAGGCAGCAGUGGGGAAUCUUGCACAAUGGAGGAAACUCUGAUGCAGCGAUGCCGCGUGAGUGAAGAAGGCCCUUGGGUUGUAAAGCUCUUUCGUCGGGGAAGAAAAUGACUGUACCCGAAUAAGAAGGUCCGGCUAACUUCGUGCCAGCAGCCGCGGUAAUACGAAGGGACCUAGCGUAGUUCGGAAUUACUGGGCUUAAAGAGUUCGUAGGUGGUUGAAAAAGUUGGUGGUGAAAUCCCAGAGCUUAACUCUGGAACUGCCAUCAAAACUUUUCAGCUAGAGUAUGAUAGAGGAAAGCAGAAUUUCUAGUGUAGAGGUGAAAUUCGUAGAUAUUAGAAAGAAUACCAAUUGCGAAGGCAGCUUUCUGGAUCAUUACUGACACUGAGGAACGAAAGCAUGGGUAGCGAAGAGGAUUAGAUACCCUCGUAGUCCAUGCCGUAAACGAUGUGUGUUAGACGUUGGAAAUUUAUUUUCAGUGUCGCAGGGAAACCGAUAAACACACCGCCUGGGGAGUACGACCGCAAGGUUAAAACUCAAAUGAAUUGACGGGGACCCGCACAAGUAGUGGAGCAUGUGGUUUAAUUCGAAGAUACGCGCAGAACCUUACCAACACUUGACAUGUUCGUCGCGACUCUAAGAGAUUAGAGUUUUCGGUUCGGCCGGACGAAACACAGGUGCUGCAUGGCUGUCGUCAGCUCGUGUCGUGAGAUGUUGGGUUAAGUCCCGCAACGAGCGCAACCCUCACUUUUAGUUGCCAUCAUUAAGUUGGGCACUCUGAAAGAACUGCCAGUGAUAAGCUGGAGGAAGGUGGGGAUGACGUCAAGUCCUCAUGGCCCUUACGUGUUGGGCUACACACGUGCUACAAUGGUAUCUACAACAGGAAGCAAGACUGCGAAGUUAAGCAAAUCCUUAAAAGAUACCUCAGUUCGGAUUGCACUCUGCAACUCGAGUGCAUGAAAGCUGGAAUUACUAGUAAUCGUGGAUCAGCGUGCCACGGUGAAUGCGUUCCCGGGUCU